AUACAGAUGCGGCGCCCCUCCCGGACCGGGCCCGCAGCGCCCGGCAGGGCACUCGGGCGGGAGGACGUCCAGGCCACGGCGCCAGGCCAUUUCCGAAGAGCUGGCGGGGCGGGUGCACCCGGGAGCGCGAAGCUGCCAGUCCCCGCCCGCAGCGGAAAACGGGCGAGCGCGCGGUGAGGUGGGGAAUUCGGAGCCCACUGCGGAGAGACCCGGCUCCGGGCUCCCGGUUCCCGGCUGGCUUUUGGGACUGGUGUGGAUGGAAUCCCAGCUGCAAGGCGGCGGCGUUUUGAGAGCCCAUGCAAAGCACGGUAGCAGACCACAUCAUUUAAUAAUAAAAAAAAUAAAAAUAAAAAUUGAACAAA
This 362-nucleotide long non-coding RNA is filed under the name Homo sapiens (human). RNAcentral's name for it is "HSALNT0375686". Lineage: Eukaryota; Metazoa; Chordata; Mammalia; Primates; Hominidae. The record is from RNAcentral.